RNAcentral lists this non-coding RNA (46 nucleotides) under Cinara cedri. It matches the Rfam family "Histone 3' UTR stem-loop". Rfam says of the family: The mRNAs of metazoan histone genes lack a poly-A tail. Lineage: Eukaryota; Metazoa; Arthropoda; Insecta; Hemiptera; Aphididae. The record is from RNAcentral.
AAAAGAGCCCUUUUCAGGGCUACCAAUUUAUUAUUAUAAUACUUUU